UACAGAGGUCUCAAGCGUUGUUCGGAUUCAUUGGGCGUAAAGAGCUCGUAGGCGGUUUGUCGCGUCGGCUGUGAAAACCUGGGGCUCAACCCCGGGCCUGCAGCCGAUACGGGCAAACUAGAAUUCGGUAGGGGAGACUGGAAUUCCUGGUGUAGCGGUGAAAUGCGCAGAUAUCAGGAGGAACACCGGUGGCGAAGGCGGGUCUCUGGGCCGAUAUUGACGCUGAGGAGCGAAAGCGUGGGGAGCAAACAGG
RNAcentral lists this ribosomal RNA (253 nucleotides) under uncultured bacterium. RNAcentral describes it as "partial 16S ribosomal RNA". It matches the Rfam family "Bacterial small subunit ribosomal RNA", at positions 524 to 776 of the family's 1533-position model. The record is from RNAcentral.